UGUAUCAAGAUCACUAAGUUCGAAUAUCAAGCAAUUGAGAAGUCAAGUGAUAUUGCUGAUAUAACAUAUGAGGGAGCAAUUCGGAAGAACUCAUAUCAUCACGCUCCUGUUUGGUCAAGCUAUCUUCAAAGGAAAUUCCAACUGCCUGUUACACGUUGCUCUGAUUACUGAGAACUGAAGGCAUGACAGUGUGAAAGACUAGCCACUGAAUAAUGAGC
This 218-nucleotide small RNA is filed under the name Arabidopsis thaliana (thale cress). RNAcentral describes it as "ATSL203890". The record is from RNAcentral. Lineage: Eukaryota; Viridiplantae; Streptophyta; Magnoliopsida; Brassicales; Brassicaceae.